Passer montanus (Eurasian tree sparrow) is the source of this 553-nucleotide long non-coding RNA. RefSeq lists it as uncharacterized. The transcript is spliced from 3 exons. The record is from RefSeq and is a predicted model, not a curated record. NCBI's taxonomy places the organism in Eukaryota, Metazoa, Chordata, Aves, Passeriformes, Passeridae.
UUUUUACCUGCAUUUCCCCCUCUUUCUGCUGCCCUUCGCAAGGUGUACGGCGGAGCCGCAGUGAAGCCUUGCCGAGCGCUCCCAAAACCGCGGGAAUUUCACCCAAAACGUUGGAAUUUCAGGGAUUUGUGCCCGUCACCCACCAUACACCAUCCUAAACAUACUCAAAAUCCUAAAUUUAGGGGAAAAGCUGACAAAAUUUGGGAAAAAACCCACAAAAUUUGCUUCCUGAAGUUGGAGACUUGCUGUGAAAAUCGGCGGGAAAAAAUCCAAAAAUUUGGGGAAAAAAGACAAAAAUUGGGAUUUAACACCAAAAUUUCAGGAUAUAGAUUUCUGAAACCACCCCAAAAAAUCCAGAAUCAUCCAAAAUCUGAGGAAUUUGACCUUUUUUACCUGCAUUUCCCCCUCUUUCUGCUGCCCUUCGCAAGGUGUACGGCGGAGCCGCAGUGAAGCCUUGCCGAGCGCUCCCAAAACCGCGGGAAUUUCACCCAAAACGUGGCAAUUUCAGGGAUUUGUGCCCGUCACCCACCGGAUGUGGCGCUGGCGGAUGAGC